Molecule: long non-coding RNA, 623 nt
Filed under: Monodelphis domestica (gray short-tailed opossum)
Lineage: Eukaryota; Metazoa; Chordata; Mammalia; Didelphimorphia; Didelphidae
Description: lncRNA (ENSMODG00000042423.1)
Source: RNAcentral
GUGGGGAGCCUUUUUGAAAUAACAAGGAUUCAGUGGAGAGGUCAUGAAUAUAACUAAGCAUACUCCUCAAGACAUUAAAGCUUCAAGGAAACUGUCGUGGACCUACCUAUAUCUAGAAGUUCUUGUUGGAGUUGAAAGGACAAAUGAAAAGAAUAAUGAACUGGCGGAAUUCCAUAGGAACUGGAAUGGCCUCCAGGAAUUGAUGCAGAGAGCAAAAGGAUCAGAACCAGAACAUUGUAUACAGAGACUGAUAAGUUACAGCACAAUCAAAUGUACUAUACUUUUCUACCAGCAGCAAUGCAAUGACCCAGGACAAUCCAAAGGAACUUGUGAGAAAGAAUGUUAUCCUCAUCCAGAGAAAGAACUAUGGAACCAGAAAUGCAUUAGAAAAAUAUAUCCUUAAUCACAUAGUGAGAUAGGGAUGUGAUUAGGAUUUUAAUAUUAAAGGGUCACUCUACUGCAAAUAUGAAUAACAGAAAUAUAUUUUGAACAAUGAUACAUGUAUAAUCCACUGGAACUGCUUGUUGGCUCUGGAAGUGGGGAAGAGAAAGCACGGGAUGGGGGACUCUGAAUCAUGUAACCAUGGAAAAAUAGUUUAAAUAAAAAUUACAAAAAGGAAUACA